This 313-nucleotide ribosomal RNA is filed under the name Ensifer fredii. RNAcentral's name for it is "Sinorhizobium fredii bacterial LSU rRNA". It matches the Rfam family "Bacterial large subunit ribosomal RNA", at positions 81 to 459 of the family's 2925-position model. The record is from RNAcentral. Lineage: Bacteria; Pseudomonadati; Pseudomonadota; Alphaproteobacteria; Hyphomicrobiales; Rhizobiaceae.
CCCAGUGUAUAGCGCGCGAAGCACGGCUUAGUUUCCAGCAUUGUUGAAAGGUAUCUUAUCCUGAAUUCAAUAGGGAUAAGAAGCGAACGCAGGGAACUUGAAACAUCUAAGUACCUGCAGGAAAGGACAUCAACCGAGACUCCGCAAGUAGUGGCGAGCGAACGCGGACCAGGCCAGUGGCAAUGAGGAAUAAAGUGGAACGACUUGGAAAGGUCGGCCGUAGCGGGUGAUAGCCCCGUACACGUAGAACACUCAUUGUCCUUGAGUAAGGCGGGACACGUGAAAUCCUGUCUGAACGUGGGGAGACCACACU